Molecule: ribosomal RNA, 247 nt
Filed under: uncultured bacterium
Lineage: Bacteria
Description: partial 16S ribosomal RNA
Rfam family: Bacterial small subunit ribosomal RNA
Source: RNAcentral
AUACGGAGGAUCCGAGCGUUAUCCGGAUUUAUUGGGUUUAAAGGGUGCGUAGGCGGCGCUGUAAGUCAGACGUGAAAUUCCUGGGCUUAACCUGGGGACUGCGUUUGAGACUGUGGUGCUAGAGGGUGGAAGAGGCUCGUGGAAUUCCCAGUGUAGAGGUGAAAUUCGUAGAUAUUAGGAGGAACACCAGUGGCGAAGGCGACUUACUGGACUGUAACUGACACUGAGGCACGAAAGCGUGGGUAGC